RNAcentral lists this ribosomal RNA (550 nucleotides) under uncultured fungus. RNAcentral's name for it is "eukaryotic LSU rRNA". The stretch from base 197 to 350 matches the Rfam family "5.8S ribosomal RNA". Lineage: Eukaryota; Fungi. The record is from RNAcentral.
CUCCGUAGGUGAACCUGCGGAGGGAUCAUUACACAAAUAUGAAGGCGGGCUGGAACCUCUCGGGGUUACAGCCUUGCUGAGUUAUUCACCCUUGUCUUUUGCGUACUUCUUGUUUCCUUGGUGGGUUCGCCCACCACUAGGACAAACAUAAACCUUUUGUAAUUGCAAUCAGCGUCAGUAACAAAUUAAUAAUUACAACUUUCAACAACGGAUCUCUUGGUUCUGGCAUCGAUGAAGAACGCAGCGAAAUGCGAUAAGUAGUGUGAAUUGCAGAAUUCAGUGAAUCAUCGAAUCUUUGAACGCACAUUGCGCCCUUUGGUAUUCCAAAGGGCAUGCCUGUUCGAGCGUCAUUUGUACCCUCAAGCUUUGCUUGGUGUUGGGCGUCUUGUCUCUAGCUUUGCUGGAGACUCGCCUUAAAGUAAUUGGCAGCCGGCCUACUGGUUUCGGAGCGCAGCACAAGUCGCACUCUCUAUCAGCAAAGGUCUAGCAUCCAUUAAGCCUUUUUUUCAACUUUUGACCUCGGAUCAGGUAGGGAUACCCGCUGAACUUA